Molecule: unclassified non-coding RNA, 206 nt
Filed under: Hevea brasiliensis (rubber tree)
Lineage: Eukaryota; Viridiplantae; Streptophyta; Magnoliopsida; Malpighiales; Euphorbiaceae
Source: RNAcentral
GCUGCUUCUAAAUGGGGCAUCUUAAGUAUAGGAUUCUCCUCAACACGUAAAUGCUCAAGGACAGGUAGAUGUGGGAAACCCUUUAGAGUUGUUAUUUUAUUUUUGCUGGCAGCUAAUACCUGUAGUCGAGGUUGACUUGCCAUUGAAAGUGACUUUAAUUUAUUUUGAGCAACAGAGAGAAACUCCAGAUUAGGAAGCUGAGGAAG